Molecule: long non-coding RNA, 2349 nt
Filed under: Nasonia vitripennis (jewel wasp)
Lineage: Eukaryota; Metazoa; Arthropoda; Insecta; Hymenoptera; Pteromalidae
Description: uncharacterized LOC116418282
Source: RNAcentral
AGAUAGUUUAAAAUAAACUGCUCAGAACUCAAAACUUAACCUACAAAUAUUGAAUUUGAAUAUCAGUUUGUUUAAUACCCCUCUAACAUUCACAUAUUUGUUUAUAUUUACUUGAAUGUUUGAUAUAAUCAUGAUGUACAAAUAAAAGAGUAGAAAAAAGAAGUCGCACGAAUUUUGAACAAGGAACAAUAUUUUAUUUAUCAGAUAAGUUAAAACUUUAUAAUACCUUUUUAUUGAUUAUUAUUAUUGAACUGUAAUACUUUGUGUCAUUUUUAUUGGUAUUUUUUUUAGGAUUGUAAUAGGAUAUUCUAAAAGGUAAUAAGUAAUCAAAUUCAAUGACAUAAAUGCUGUAUGCAUUUUAUAAAUCAAAACGACAAUUAUUCAACAGCUGAUAAAUGUGUUCAUGCGCAACUAAGUAAUACAAAAAAAUAUAAUUUGCAUGGUGUUGUAACUACUGCGAGUCAAGUGGAUAAGUUGACCUUGUUAGUUGCUGGCAAUAGUGAAUAAAAUACUGUUGGAGAUUGUUGGAAAACUGAUCAGUGAUGCGUGUCUCAUGCACUAACUUUGGAUGAACUCUACAAAAAUUGUAUACGUUACUCAUGAUACUAGAAUUUUUGUCAAUGGAGAUAGACGUUAAUCUAUUUUAUAGUAUUGUUGGGAUCACUCAGAUGCGCCCUUCCCAGUGCUCGGAUAAUGACUGGAUCAAAUAAGAACAGGCUUUAUUUGGUUGACGAAUGAAGUAGAGAAGAUUUUUUAAGUGAAGGGAACAUUUGUAUAAUAAUUCUUUAUUAAUUUUCCUAUACUUAUGUCGAAGAAGUUAUAAUAAUAAGUGACAAUAGUUUUGGUUAUUUUUAUAAAUUGAGGAAAUGAUUUCAAAAGUGAAUAAUUUGAACAAACAUCUUGCUGUAACUAUAUACAAGUUAAUAUAACAAUUAAUUUAAAAUAAUGUAACAAUAUAUGAAUUAAAACAUUUUCUGAUUUUUUAUUUAAACAUUUAUUUGUGUACCAUUCUUUUCAUACGCACUGUAGCCUACUUAAGUGGACUAUAUUUUUUAGAUGAUGUUUUUUUUAUUUUCUCCUUACUCCAUCAUUUUUGUAGAUACAUAAUAUAUAUAUCUUUACAUAUAUUUUAUUAUAUACAUAUAUCUUUUCCAUCGGUAGACAUCAUUUUAGAAAAGGUGCAUCAGGUAUUAUUAUUUUAUUGAUUUUUUAUUUUAAAAAACUGAUCUUACACAAAUCAUAUAUGUAUCGUACGUAAAUUUUAACUGGAUUAUUUUUAGAUUUAAUAGUCUUUUUUGUCUGCCUGUGUUUCUUAAAAUGAGUAUAUAUGAAUUAAAAAUUAUAAUAUAAUUCUGCACACAUUACACAUUACUUAGCUAUCAAUAAAUAUGUAUACUAGUCUUCUCCGUCUGUCUGUGUUUUUUAAAAUAAGUAGAUAAUGAAGUUGUUUAAUUUACACUACAGUUGUAAUCUAUUUGAAUUUGGCGCUCCCCUAGCAGAUGGCGCGCGUGCAACCUUUGUUUGCCGGAUCGCGGAUAAUCAGCUAAUACAUACAGGUAUAUAUAUAGUCGAAUCUGGUGGAUAUACCUGAACGUAAAACUAAAAUCGGCAUGUUAUUUUAAUGGUGCCUAUCGCUAGGUGCGGAUCUCUUUGUUUCCAGAAUCCUCCUCAACAAAAAAUCGUGAGAAAACUCCUGUGCAUGUGUGAAGAAGGAUAUUUCUUAGUAUCAAAGAAUACUUUGGAUCGAAAUAAACGGAAGAUAUCAUUUGAGAGAAAGGUUUGGAUCGCCAUCAAGUCUCUACCAUAAUCAUUUUGGUAACUACGUGCAUCCCAAACUUGGCAGCUUCGCGCGCCCCUAAGUUGGCAGCUUCGUGCGCCUCUGAUUUGGCAGCUUCGUGCGCCUCUAAGUUGGCAGCUUCGUGCGCCCCUACGGUGGCAGCUUCGUGCGCCCCUAAGUUGGCAGCUUCGUGCGCCCCUACAUUGGCAGCUUCGUGCGCCCCUAUACGUUGGCAGCUUCGUGUGCCCAUUUUUAGUUUUGUAUGUUCUAAAAUUUUAAUAAAUUUCUGUGUUUUUUAUUAUUUGAAAUGGAAAAACAAAAAAAAAUAUUUGUUCUUGAAAAUGAUGAAAUGUCAAGAAUUCUUGAUGGAUCUCGGUUACAGGAUACACAUAUUGAUAAAUUUCAUAGCAUGCUGUCUAAUGAGACUAUUUUGAACCACGUUCUACGUUGUAUCUUACAAAUGUAAUGCUUGAUCCUAAUUCGAGCCGUAUAAAACCUAUAUCACGAAACGUUCUCCAUGUCCAAAUAUUACAUAGCUGUGAUGAUUUGUGUAAUAAAUGUAUUAAUGGUCA